GCAUGGAUCAUAUUACUGUUGGUCUCCUG
RNAcentral lists this non-coding RNA (29 nucleotides) under Rattus norvegicus (Norway rat). The record is from RNAcentral. Lineage: Eukaryota; Metazoa; Chordata; Mammalia; Rodentia; Muridae.